Molecule: non-coding RNA, 1302 nt
Organism: Oryctolagus cuniculus (rabbit)
Lineage: Eukaryota; Metazoa; Chordata; Mammalia; Lagomorpha; Leporidae
Source: RefSeq, a predicted model, not a curated record
UAUGCCAUGAUGAAUUAAUGGUAGCUAGGAUUUAGAAUUUAGUUCUCUCUCCUGAUUGACUAACUAGGACUCCCUCUCUUGCCAACCCUGCUUUGGGAAUAAGCAGACACAAAGCAUACCAUACUUCCAGGCCCACUUAAUCACUAGUCCAUCUCAGACCCAUACCUGAAUGAUAGGAGAACAAACAAAAGAAAGAAUAAAAAAGGUUGAGGAAUCCUAUGUAUGUACCACAGUUAUCUCGAAUUUUUUUUGAGAAAGACGGUGACGAAAAUUGUAAGCUGAGUCUGGCUCCAAUGUGAAGAUUGUAGCCACACCACAGGCAUUAUCUCCUAUACUUACAUUGUGGUUGUUAGUUUACUCUUUCAAAUGUGAGAAGAGAGAUCUUGAAGGCAAAACAUAAGGCAUUCGUGAACAAAGAGAAGCGCCCUUCUUUCUGGUGCCACAGAAAGGUGAAGCAGCCAAAGAGGUAGACAGAUGAAGAAUUUCCCUGGGAAUAUCUGGCUACAACUACAUAUUACCUCAUCUCUGGAAAUGUGAAUGAACUUCCAGACAGGUCAUCAUCUAGUCCAUUGCUACUCAACAUCUACCCAGAGGACAAAAUCAGAACAUAAAGAUUAUCAGCAUGGUUUGUUGAGUGCUACCCUCUUUUUUGCAUUAGGAGUCCUGAUACGAGAAUGUGGAGCGAGCUACUGACAUCCCUCUUCCUGAACUUCUGUGUCAUUCUGAAUUCCAGCUAGCACCUGAAGACAACAAUCCAGGUCUCAGGGAAGGAAAUUAGAGCCUUAACAAAUUCCCCAGCCAAAUGGAAAGCUUGAGACCCGGGGAUAUCCUCUGAUAUUGAGAGCUGCCUUUUCAAAGUACCACGUUCAAUCUGCUGCUAAGCCUUCAAAAUUGUAAGGACAAGUAAUGAACUUCCAGGAAGUCAGUGCUUUCACAAACCUGAGAUCGAGGUGCCAAGAUCUAAGCCCAAUGACAUGUUAUGGUUUCCUUUUCUGAACACUUCUGGAAUUGUGAGCCUUCCCAAGACAAGAGAAUGCAGUGUACCUGCAAUGUCUCAGUGUGUAAGAAAACAGUUGGAGGCCACAAAAUCACAAAAUCUGUUAUUUGUCUUGGCUAGCUGGGAUAAAAAGAGGAAUGAUCAAGCCCAACCAGAACCUAACAGAAAAGUUUCUUUGCUACCAGGAAUCUAAAACCAGUGACUCUAACAGUGAGUGUGCAACAAUGAAUACUGUAGAAGAGAAACAGGGAGAUUGAUGGGAAGUGCAUUCUAACAGGUGGGAGGGAAAGCCUGGCAAAUAUACU